Molecule: ribosomal RNA, 1365 nt
Filed under: uncultured bacterium
Lineage: Bacteria
Description: bacterial SSU rRNA
Rfam family: Bacterial small subunit ribosomal RNA
Source: RNAcentral
GACGAACGCUGGCGGCGUGCUUAACACAUGCAAGUCGAACGGAAAGGCCCUCGCCUUGGUGGGGGUGCUCGAGUGGCGAAUGGGUGAGUAACACGUGGGUGAUCUGCCCUGUACUUCGGGGUAAGCUUGGGAAACCGGGUCUAAUACCGGAUAGGACCAUGGUUUAGUGUCUCAUGGUGGAAAAAUUAUUGUUUUGGUGCAGGAUGAGCUCGCGGCCUAUCAGCUUGUUGGUGGGGUAAUGGCCUACCAAGGCGUCGACGGGUAGCCGGCCUGAGAGGGUGGACGGCCACAUUGGGACUGAGAUACGGCCCAGACUCCUACGGGAGGCAGCAGUGGGGAAUAUUGCACAAUGGGCGCAAGCCUGAUGCAGCGACGCCGCGUGGGGGAUGACGGCCUUCGGGUUGUAAACUCCUUUCGUUAGGGACGAAGCCACACUUUUUUUGGGUGUGGUGACGGUACCUUUGUUAAGAAGCACCGGCUAACUACGUGCCAGCAGCCGCGGUAAUACGUAGGGUGCGAGCGUUGUCCGGAAUUACUGGGCGUAAAGAGCUCGUAGGUGGUUUGUUGCGUCGUCUGUGAAAUUCCGGGGCUUAACUUCGGGGUGGCAGGCGAUACGGGCAUAACUAGAGUGCUGUAGGGGAGACUGGAAUUCCUGGUGUAGCGGUGGAAUGCGCAGAUAUCAGGAGGAACACCGAUGGCGAAGGCAGGUCUCUGGGCAGUAACUGACGCUGAGGAGCGAAAGCAUGGGGAGCGAACAGGAUUAGAUACCCUGGUAGUCCAUGCUGUAAACGGUGGGCGUUAGGUGUGGGGACCGGUUUGGUUUCUGUGCCGUAGCUAACGCAUUAAGCGCCCCGCCUGGGGAGUACGGCCGCAAGGCUAAAACUCAAAGGAAUUGACGGGGGCCCGCACAAGCGGCGGAGCAUGUGGAUUAAUUCGAUGCAACGCGAAGAACCUUACCUGGGUUUGACAUGCACCAGACGGUUGUAGAGAUACGUACCUCCCUUUGUGGUUGGUGUGCAGGUGGUGCAUGGUUGUCGUCAGCUCGUGUCGUGAGAUGUUGGGUUAAGUCCCGCAACGAGCGCAACCCUUGUCUUAUGUUGCCAGCACGUUUGGGUGGGGACUCAUGAGAGACUGCCGGGGUUAACUCGGAGGAAGGUGGGGAUGACGUCAAAUCAUCAUGCCCUUUAUGCCCAGGGCUUCACACAUGCUACAAUGGUUAGUACAACGCGCGGCGAGCCUGUGAGGGUGAGCGAAUCGCUGAAAGCUAAUCUCAGUUCGGAUUGGGGUCUGCAACUCGACCCCAUGAAGUCGGAGUCGCUAGUAAUCGCAGAUCAGCAAUGCUGCGGUGAAUACGUUCCCGGGCCU